This 508-nucleotide ribosomal RNA is filed under the name uncultured bacterium. Its description in RNAcentral is "partial 16S ribosomal RNA". It matches the Rfam family "Bacterial small subunit ribosomal RNA", at positions 28 to 507 of the family's 1533-position model. The record is from RNAcentral.
GACGAACGCUGGCGGCGUGCCUAAUACAUGCAAGUCGAACGCUUCUUUCCUCCCGAGUGCUUGCACUCAAUUGGAAAGAGGAGUGGCGGACGGGUGAGUAACACGUGGGUAACCUACCCAUCAGAGGGGGAUAACACUUGGAAACAGGUGCUAAUACCGCAUAACAGUUUAUGCCGCAUGGCAUAAGAGUGAAAGGCGCUUUCGGGUGUGGCUGAUGGAUGGACCCGCGGUGCAUUAGCUAGUUGGUGAGGUAACGGCUCACCAAGGCCACGAUGCAUAGCCGACCUGAGAGGGUGAUCGGCCACACUGGGACUGAGACACGGCCCAGACUCCUACGGGAGGCAGCAGUAGGGAAUCUUCGGCAAUGGACGAAAGUCUGACCGAGCAACGCCGCGUGAGUGAAGAAGGUUUUCGGAUCGUAAAACUCUGUUGUUAGAGAAGAACAAGGACGUUAGUAACUGAACGUCCCCUGACGGUAUCUAACCAGAAAGCCACGGCUAACUACGUG